GGACUACCCGGGUAUCUAAUCCUGUUUGCUCCCCACGCUUUCGCGCAUCAGCGUCAGUAACGGGCCAGUGUGUCGCCUUCGCCACUGGUGUUCUUCCGAAUAUCUACGAAUUUCACCUCUACACUCGGAGUUCCACACACCUCUCCCGUACUCAAGACAGCCAGUAUCGAAGGCAGUUCCAGGGUUGAGCCCUGGGCUUUCACCCCCGACUAAACUGUCCGCCUACGCGCCCUUUACGCCCAGUAAUUCCGAGCAACGCUAGCCCCCUUCGUAUUACCGCGGCUGCUGGCAC
Molecule: ribosomal RNA, 292 nt
Filed under: uncultured bacterium
Lineage: Bacteria
Description: partial 16S ribosomal RNA
Source: RNAcentral